UUGCAGUUAAAAAGCUCGUAGUUGGAUUUCUGGGAGGGUGCCAAUGUCCGCCGACGUGCGUGCGCAGCGGCGCCCUCUCAUCCUUCUGUUAACGUCUCUCGGCAUUCAUUUGCCGGUGGCGGGCUCAGAUAUUUUACCUUGAGAAAAUUAGAGUGUUUCAGGCAGGCUAGGCCGGAAUACAUUAGCAUGGAAUAAUGGAAUAGGACUUCGGUCUCUUUGUUGGUUUGAGGGACUGCAGUAAUGAUUAAUAGGGAUAGUUGGGGGCAUUAGUAUUUAAUUGUCAGAGGUGGAAUUCUCGGAUUUGUUAAAGACUAACUUAUGCGAAAGCAUUUGCCAAGGAUGUUUUCAUUAAUCAAGAACGAAAGUUAGGGGAUCAAAGACGAUCAGAUACCGUCCUAGUCUUAACCAUAAACUAUGCCGACUCGGGAUCGGGGGCGCGAACUAUCCGCCUUCGGCACCGUAUGAUAAAUCAAAGUCUUUGGGUUCUGGGGGGAGUAUGGUCGCAAGUGCUGAAUUCUUAAAGGAAUUGACGGAAUGGGCACCACCAGGCGUGGAGCUUGCGGCUC
Molecule: ribosomal RNA, 566 nt
Filed under: uncultured marine eukaryote
Lineage: Eukaryota
Description: SSU rRNA
Rfam family: Eukaryotic small subunit ribosomal RNA
Source: RNAcentral